UACGUAGGGACCGAGCGUUGUCCGGAAUCAUUGGGCGUAAAGAGCGUGUAGGCGGCUAUUUAAGUCCUGCGUGAAAUCCUGCGGCUCAACCGCAGACGGUCGUGGGAAACUGGAUGGCUAGAGUGCGGGAGAGGAGCGUGGAAUUCCCGGUGUAGCGGUGAAAUGCGCAGAUAUCGGGAAGAACACCCGUGGCGAAGGCGGCUCUCUGGAACGCAACUGACGCUGAGACGCGAAAGCGUGGGGAGCAAACAGG
RNAcentral lists this ribosomal RNA (253 nucleotides) under uncultured bacterium. RNAcentral's name for it is "partial 16S ribosomal RNA". It matches the Rfam family "Bacterial small subunit ribosomal RNA", at positions 524 to 776 of the family's 1533-position model. The record is from RNAcentral.